RNAcentral lists this ribosomal RNA (358 nucleotides) under uncultured bacterium. Its description in RNAcentral is "bacterial SSU rRNA". It matches the Rfam family "Bacterial small subunit ribosomal RNA", at positions 438 to 793 of the family's 1533-position model. The record is from RNAcentral.
AUACAGGAAGAAACACUCGGACGUGUCCGAGCUUGACGGUACUGUAAGAAUAAGGAUCGGCUAACUCCGUGCCAGCAGCCGCGGUAAUACGGAGGAUCCAAGCGUUAUCCGGAAUCAUUGGGUUUAAAGGGUCCGUAGGUGGAUUAGUAAGUACAGAGGUGAAAGCCUGCAGCUCAACUGUAGAACUGCCUUUGAUACUGCUAGUCUUGAGUCAUUAUGAAGUGGUUAGAAUGUGUAGUGUAGCGGUGAAAUGCAUAGAUAUUACACAGAAUACCGAUUGCGAAGGCAGAUCACUAAUAAUGUACUGACACUGAUGGACGAAAGCGUGGGGAGCGAACAGGAUUAGAUACCCUGGUAG